AACCAAACAAUGGAAAAUAUUUUCGUGGAAAACAUUUUUUUAGAAAUAAUUUUCAUGAAAAACAUUUUCCAUGUCCAAGUUAUUUUAUACAAGUUAUUUUACGCGAAACAAAUGGAGCAUUAAUAAAUGCUUCUUUGUGCCCUUUUCAACUUGGUUUGAGAAAGAGGGGAAAAAGAAAAGCUUUUUGUCUGUGUUCUUAUGUUGUAUUUGAUGUUUUAUGGCAUUGGUUUUGUGAUUUGUUUU
This 243-nucleotide unclassified non-coding RNA is filed under the name Hevea brasiliensis (rubber tree). Lineage: Eukaryota; Viridiplantae; Streptophyta; Magnoliopsida; Malpighiales; Euphorbiaceae. The record is from RNAcentral.